CACAUGCAAGUCGAGGGGCAGCAGGAACAAAGCUUGCUUUGUUUGCUGGCGACCGGCGCACGGGUGAGUAACGCGUGUCCGACCUACCCAUAACACGGGCACAGCCGCUCGAAAGAGUGAUUGAUUCCCGAUAUGUCUUGUGAGUAGAUUGCAAGAUGAAAGAUUUAUCGGUAACGGAUAGGGAUGCGUGACAUUAGAUAGUAGGCGGGGUAACGGCCCACCUAGUCUACGAUGUCUAGGGGUUCUGAGAGGAAGGUCCCCCACACUGGAACUGAGACACGGUCCAGACUCCUACGGGAGGCAGCAGUGAGGAAUAUUGGUCAAUGGUCGGAAGACUGAACCAGCCAAGUAGCGUGAAGGAUGAAGGUUCUAUGGAUUGUAAACUUCUUUUAUACGGGAAUAAAGCCCGCUACGUGUAGCGGUUUGUAUGUACCGUAUGAAUAAGCAUCGGCUAACUCCGUGCCAGCAGCCGAGGUAAUACGGAGGAUGCGAGCGUUAUCCGGAUUUAUUGGGUUUAAAGGGAGCGUAGACGGGAGAUUAAGUCAGCUGUGAAAGUUUGGGGCUCAACCUUAAAAUUGCAGUUGAUACUGGUUUCCUUGAGUGCGGUUGAGGUGUGUGGAAUUCGUGGUGUAGCGGUGAAAUGCUUAGA
Molecule: ribosomal RNA, 649 nt
Filed under: uncultured Bacteroidota bacterium
Lineage: Bacteria; Pseudomonadati; Bacteroidota
Description: bacterial SSU rRNA
Rfam family: Bacterial small subunit ribosomal RNA
Source: RNAcentral